UUCCGUAGGGGUGAACCUGCGGAGGGAUCAUUACACAAAUAUGAAGGCGGGCUGGAACCUCUCGGGGUUACAGCCUUGCUGAAUUAUUCACCCUUGUCUUUUGCGUACUUCUUGUUUCCUUGGUGGGUUCGCCCACCACUAGGACAAACAUAAACCUUUUGUAAUUGCAAUCAGCGUCAGUAACAAAUUAAUAAUUACAACUUUCAACAACGGAUCUCUUGGUUCUGGCAUCGAUGAAGAACGCAGCGAAAUGCGAUAAGUAGUGUGAAUUGCAGAAUUCAGUGAAUCAUCGAAUCUUUGAACGCACAUUGCGCCCUUUGGUAUUCCAAAGGGCAUGCCUGUUCGAGCGUCAUUUGUACCCUCAAGCUUUGCUUGGUGUUGGGCGUCUUGUCUCUAGCUUUGCUGGAGACUCGCCUUAAAGUAAUUGGCAGCCGGCCUACUGGUUUCGGAGCGCAGCACAAGUCGCACUCUCUAUCAGCAAAGGUCUAGCAUCCAUUAAGCCUUUUUUUCAACUUUUGACCUCGGAUCAGGUA
RNAcentral lists this ribosomal RNA (533 nucleotides) under Alternaria alternata. Its description in RNAcentral is "eukaryotic LSU rRNA". The stretch from base 199 to 352 matches the Rfam family "5.8S ribosomal RNA". The record is from RNAcentral. Lineage: Eukaryota; Fungi; Ascomycota; Dothideomycetes; Pleosporales; Pleosporaceae.